UGGGUUUGACAUCACCCGGAAACAUCUAGAGAUAGGUGCCUCUUCGGACUGGGUGACAGGUGGUGCAUGGCUGUCGUCAGCUCGUGUCGUGAGAUGUUGGGUUAAGUCCCGCAACGAGCGCAACCCUUAUCCCGUGUUGCCAGCAAGUAGUGUUGGGGACUCGCGGGAGACUGCCGGGGUUAACUCGGAGGAAGGUGGGGAUGACGUAGACCUUGGACC
Molecule: unclassified non-coding RNA, 219 nt
Filed under: uncultured Actinomycetes bacterium
Lineage: Bacteria; Bacillati; Actinomycetota; Actinomycetes
Description: uncultured actinobacterium contains 16S-23S intergenic spacer region
Rfam family: Bacterial small subunit ribosomal RNA
Source: RNAcentral